RNAcentral lists this small RNA (170 nucleotides) under unclassified sequences. RNAcentral's name for it is "DUF2693 RNA". It matches the Rfam family "DUF2693 RNA". The record is from Rfam by way of RNAcentral.
GAUCAUUGACAUACUGACAAGGCUAAAAAGACAAAGAGAUAACUAACGUAGAGAGGCUUCAAGCCCUCUACAAGUGACUAACAAUAUAGCUUGCAGUCUUAGACCUAUCGUGCUAAGAGCUGAACGGCUAACGACCGCCACCCCGCCCCUCGUAAAGGGCUUGCAAGCAC